Daphnia magna is the source of this 205-nucleotide long non-coding RNA. RefSeq lists it as uncharacterized. The record is from RefSeq and is a predicted model, not a curated record. The transcript has 2 exons. Lineage: Eukaryota; Metazoa; Arthropoda; Branchiopoda; Diplostraca; Daphniidae.
CAGCUGCCAGUCGCACUCAAAGUCGCACACCUUGAAAGACAUUUUUAGUGUGAACCACACAGGGAAUCAACCUACGAACUACUUUCCACCAAAAAAACGUAAUAGUAAAGGAUCUACAUCAAUAUCACAGACUCCAGAAAACAAGAUAGCAAUGGAUGAAGAUGAAGAACAUUCUAUUGUAGGAUGGCUAUCGAGAACACUCCAG